RNAcentral lists this ribosomal RNA (273 nucleotides) under uncultured bacterium. Its description in RNAcentral is "partial 16S ribosomal RNA". It matches the Rfam family "Bacterial small subunit ribosomal RNA", at positions 524 to 789 of the family's 1533-position model. The record is from RNAcentral.
UACAGAGGGGGCAAGCGUUGUUCGGAAUUACUGGGCGUAAAGGGCGCGUAGGCGGCCCGCUAAGUCGAACGUGAAAUCCCCGAGCUCAACUCGGGAACUGCGUCCGAUACUGGCGGGCUUGAAUCCGGGAGAGGGAUGUGACGUACUCGUGAGUGAUGAGCGGUGAAAUGCGCAGAUAUCAGGAAGAACACCCAUGGCGAAGCGGCUCUCUGGGACGGUACUGACGCUGAGACGCGAAAGCGUGGGGAGCGAACAGGAUUAGAACCGUACCUC